GUGUCAGCAGCCGCGGUAAAACGUAGGUGGCGAGCGUUAUCCGGAUUUACUGGGCGUAAAGCGUGUGCAGGCGGACCGUCAAGUGGUGUAUGAAAUCGCCCGGCUUAACCGGGCGGGGUUAGGCCAGACUGACGGACUGGAGUGCGAGAGAGGGGCGUGGAAUUCCGGGUGUAGUGGUGAAAUGCGUAGAGAUCCGGAGGAACCCCAGCGGCGAAGGCGGCGCCCUGGCUCGCAACUGACGCUCAGACACGACAGCAUGGGGAGCGAACGGGAUUAGAAACCCUGGUAGUCC
RNAcentral lists this ribosomal RNA (292 nucleotides) under uncultured bacterium. Its description in RNAcentral is "partial 16S ribosomal RNA". It matches the Rfam family "Bacterial small subunit ribosomal RNA", at positions 505 to 796 of the family's 1533-position model. The record is from RNAcentral.